CUCCCAUAUGUCCCUAGCGGUGUACCUCUGCAUCCUCCCUCCCUUCCUCCCCCCCCUGGUUAGCUACCCCAGACCCAGCAGACAGACGAAAGCGGGUGCACUAAUAAGUCGCAUCUAAUGGCGACAUGUUUCGUCGAGGAGAAAAGGACAGGGAGACGAAGGUGACGCAUGGAACGAAAUUGCAAGUGCAAGGGCGGCUGUCCGCGCGCGCGUCCAAUGGCGCGACGGCCGAGUUGUUUAGGGACACGCCUCUAGUAAUCCGCGUGCUUUGUCAUUUCCUGCCAAAGUUACACGGUUCGUUACUGACAGCACUGGUAUAAACCAUGGAUCUUACUGGACAGUCUGCUGCCAAAGUUACAGUUUUAUGGGUACCGCGAGAUUUUUGCUGUUA
This is a long non-coding RNA of Hordeum vulgare subsp. vulgare (domesticated barley), 391 nucleotides long. RefSeq lists it as uncharacterized. The transcript is spliced from 2 exons. NCBI's taxonomy places the organism in Eukaryota, Viridiplantae, Streptophyta, Magnoliopsida, Poales, Poaceae. The record is from RefSeq and is a predicted model, not a curated record.